UACGGAGGAUCCAAGCGUUAUCCGGAUUUAUUGGGUUUAAAGGGUGCGUAGGCGGCCUAUUAAGUCAGGGGUGAAAGACGGUAGCUUAACUAUCGCAGUGCCUUUGAUACUGAUGGGCUUGAGUAUACUUGAGGUAGGCGGAAUGUGACAAGUAGCGGUGAAAUGCAUAGAUAUGUCACAGAACACCAAUUGCGAAGGCAGCUUACUAAAGUAUGAUUGACGCUGAGGCACGAAAGCGUGGGGAUCAAACAGG
This 253-nucleotide ribosomal RNA is filed under the name uncultured bacterium. RNAcentral's name for it is "partial 16S ribosomal RNA". It matches the Rfam family "Bacterial small subunit ribosomal RNA", at positions 524 to 776 of the family's 1533-position model. The record is from RNAcentral.